Molecule: non-coding RNA, 238 nt
Filed under: Alkaliphilus oremlandii
Lineage: Bacteria; Bacillati; Bacillota; Clostridia; Peptostreptococcales; Natronincolaceae
Description: T-box sequence
Rfam family: T-box leader
About the family: Uncharged tRNA acts as the effector for transcription antitermination of genes in the T-box leader family.
Source: RNAcentral
AUAAAGGCGUUGACGGAGAGAAACUUAUUGAGGGUUAUUUACAGAGAGUUGGGAAUGGUGAGAACCAACAAUAAACAGAUAAGAGAUAUACACUCCUGAGCUGAUUUGCUGAACGUGAAUUCAAGUAGGUAAAUCCGAAGGCCCAUCGUUAUCGGGGCUAGGACUGUUAGGUCUGAUUGAGUGAUGACUUUGUCAUAAUUAGGGUGGUACCGCGCGGAUUAUAUCCUUCGUCCCUAUA